AGAGAGGUGGCCGAGUGGUCGAAGGCGCAUGCUUGGAAAGCAUGUAUACGAAGUAAUCCUUUGUAUCGAGGGUUCGAAUCCCUUCCUCUCUG
This 92-nucleotide transfer RNA is filed under the name Bacteroidota bacterium. RNAcentral describes it as "tRNA-Ser". It matches the Rfam family "tRNA". Rfam says of the family: Transfer RNA (tRNA) molecules are approximately 80 nucleotides in length. Their secondary structure includes four short double-helical elements and three loops (D, anti-codon, and T loops). Lineage: Bacteria; Pseudomonadati; Bacteroidota. The record is from RNAcentral. RNAcentral also lists the same sequence under 1 other name.